CGUAGAUCGCCGCUGCUGAGACCGCCCUAGCCCUCCUCUGCUUCAUGAUGCCGCAGCACCAUCCGAGUACCACCGUCGCCUUGGGUUGCAUGCAGAUCCUCUGUCUCAGAUCAUUAACGAUCUGGAUUGUAUCCGGACUUUCCUGCCUCUCUGCUUGGUGGUUUAGUGCUCCAACUCGCUCGUAAUGUUUCUGCUUUUGCCACUGCAUGGGCUAGACGAUUUCCGUUUCUAGGAGUCCAAGUCAUUCCCUUUUCAGCUAUUGCACUUGUUCCAGUAUCCUUUCUGAAGGUUGCGUCAACAUUUACGUUCAACCAGUUCUCAGGGGGAGGUCUCCAUUUCACCAGGUUUGAGCUCCACCAUUGCAGACUCAGCAUAUGACCUUCAAUUCUCCAUGGUCCAUCAUCAUACGCUCUUCUAGCUUCCUCCAGACUUUUGAAGUUCAAGAUAAAGGAGUUUGGUCCUACAUUGGUGAUCACCAGACCCUGCGGAUCUCCCCACAUAUUAAGAAUCGUUUUACGCACUGUGACCGUAUUUAGCACCUUUUCCGUCAACACCCGGCCCACUAGUUUCUGAUUUGUAUUAUCUCCAUGUUGAGCUGGAGAUUCUUCCAAUUCUAAAACAUCC
Non-coding RNA from Arachis ipaensis, 624 nucleotides. The record is from RefSeq and is a predicted model, not a curated record. Lineage: Eukaryota; Viridiplantae; Streptophyta; Magnoliopsida; Fabales; Fabaceae.